RNAcentral lists this long non-coding RNA (236 nucleotides) under Musa acuminata (dwarf banana). RNAcentral's name for it is "long non-coding RNA (MACU_LNC010676)". Lineage: Eukaryota; Viridiplantae; Streptophyta; Magnoliopsida; Zingiberales; Musaceae. The record is from RNAcentral.
AAAUUGCAGCAGCAGUAAGGUAGAAAACCAGAACUUGUUGCAAUUCACGGGGAGAUCAAAGGAUGAUCCGUGGUGGUGGAGAUGAUGGCGGAAUUCGGCGAUGAUCUUUUAAGCAAUUGUGGGAAUUACUUUGGGCGGUUGUCGAGGGCUCAUGGAUGGCAGUGGAAGGGCAACGAGAUGCCAAGAACGCUGCUCUGAUACCAGGUGUUAGAACCCUUACAGAUUCUAAACUUGGG